GAGGAAUAUUGGUCAAUGGACGCAAGUCUGAACCAGCCACGUCGCGUGAAGGGAGACGGUCCUACGGGUUGUCAACUUCUUUUAUACGGGAAUAAAGUGCCCCACGCGUGGGGUUUUGCAUGUACCGUAUGAAUAAGGAUCGGCUAACUCCGUGCCAGCAGCCGCGGUAAUACGGAGGAUCCGAGCGUGUAUCCGGAUUUAUUGGGUUUAAAGGGUGCUCAGGCGGGGGGUUAAGUCGGCGGUGAAAUUUUGCAGCUCAACUGUAAAAGUGCCUUCGAAACUGGUUCCCUGCAGUGCGGAUGGGGUAGGAGGAAUUUGUGGUGUAGCGGUGAAAUGCAUAGAUAUCACGAGGAACUCCGACUGCGCAGGCAGCUUACCAAGCCGUAACUGACGCUCAAGCACGAAGGCGUGGUGAUCAAACA
Molecule: ribosomal RNA, 422 nt
Filed under: uncultured Proteiniphilum sp.
Lineage: Bacteria; Pseudomonadati; Bacteroidota; Bacteroidia; Bacteroidales; Dysgonomonadaceae
Description: bacterial SSU rRNA
Rfam family: Bacterial small subunit ribosomal RNA
Source: RNAcentral